RNAcentral lists this ribosomal RNA (301 nucleotides) under uncultured bacterium. Its description in RNAcentral is "partial 16S ribosomal RNA". It matches the Rfam family "Bacterial small subunit ribosomal RNA", at positions 509 to 807 of the family's 1533-position model. The record is from RNAcentral.
CAGCCGCCGCGGGAACACGAAGGGUGCAAGCGUUAAUCGGAAUUACUGGGCGUAAAGCGUGCGUAGGCGGUUUGUUAAGUCUGCUGUGAAAUCCCCGGGCUCAACCUGGGAAUGGCAGUGGAUACUGGCAAGCUAGAGUGUGUCAGAGGAUGGUGGAAUUCCCGGUGUAGCGGUGAAAUGCGUAGAGAUCGGGAGGAACAUCAGUGGCGAAGGCGGCCAUCUGGGACAACACUGACGCUGAGGCACGAAAGCGUGGGGAGCAAACAGGAUUAGAUACCCCCGUAGUCCCUGUCUCUUAUAC